CUUUAGAAGGUAUUUUGUGACAAAGGGAAAAAGAAGUAUUACUGCAUGAUAAUCAGAUAACAGGAUUAGAGCAAAAUUAUUUAACUAUCUUAAAGUUUGAAAGAUUUUCUUUAUAUCCUCUACAGAAAAUGCAAUUGAUUGAUUUUUGUCGAGUCGGCGACUUUAUUCGCGGUAAGCUCGACAUAGGGAUAGUGAUCCGGCGGUAACUGAAGCGUCG
This 217-nucleotide long non-coding RNA is filed under the name Mytilus galloprovincialis (Mediterranean mussel). Lineage: Eukaryota; Metazoa; Mollusca; Bivalvia; Mytilida; Mytilidae. The record is from RNAcentral.